GACGAACGCUGGCGGCGCGCUUAACACAUGCAAGUCGAGCGAGAACCAAGCCUUCGGGCUUGGGGACAGCGGCGAACGGGUGAGUAACACGUGGGUAAUCAACCCUUGACACUGGGAUAGCCCGGGGAAACCCGGAUUAAUACCGGAUAUCCCAUCUGGCUUUCGAGCCGGCUGGAAAAGGUAGCUUCGGCCUCCGGUCAAGGACGAGCCCGCGGCGGAUUAGCUUGUUGGCGGGGUAAAAGACCCACCAAGGCGACGANCCGUAGCUGGUCUGAGAGGACGAUCAGCCACACUGGGACUGAGACACGGCCCAGACUCCUACGGGAGGCAGCAGUGGGGAAUCUUGCGCAAUGGGCGAAAGCCUGACGCAGCGACGCCGCGUGA
This 384-nucleotide ribosomal RNA is filed under the name uncultured bacterium. Its description in RNAcentral is "bacterial SSU rRNA". It matches the Rfam family "Bacterial small subunit ribosomal RNA", at positions 28 to 404 of the family's 1533-position model. The record is from RNAcentral.